Molecule: long non-coding RNA, 917 nt
Organism: Rhinopithecus roxellana (golden snub-nosed monkey)
Lineage: Eukaryota; Metazoa; Chordata; Mammalia; Primates; Cercopithecidae
Exons: 2
Source: RefSeq, a predicted model, not a curated record
GCCUGAGAGGAAGGGCGGGUUGCUGUAGGGCUCCCUAACCGGGCUGCCGUGUCAGACUUCUGGCCUACAGACUUGCGUCGUUUUAAGCCACUAAAUUUGUGAUAAUUUGUUACAGUAGCAAUAGGAAAUUAAUACAGAUGGGGUUUCGCCAUGUUGCCCAGGACGGUUUUGAACUCCUGGGGCCAAGUGAUCUGCAUUCCUCUGCCUACCAAAGUGCUGGGAUUACAGAUGCGAGCCACCCCUCCUGGCCCACAAGUCUUUCAGUGUAGAAGAGGGAAGCAGAAGAGGUCAAAGUGGUGCCAUGUGAAGGCUCAACCCACCCUUGCUGGAGGAAGGGAGCCAGAGCCAAGCUGGAAGAGGCAAGGAAAUACACCAUUGUGAUUACAUUAGGCCCAUCCAGAUAAUCCAGGAUCAUCUCUUUUACAGUCAUCUGAUUAGCAAUUUAAUUCUCUUUUGUCAUGUUAGGUAACACAUUCACGUGUUUCAGAGUGGUAGGCCAUUAUUCUGCCUACUAUACCACCCAACACAAAUCUACAUUAAGACUGUAUCUGAGUGUUGCACAGGAAUCUAUGUCAACAAGCUUCCAGGGUGAUCCUGUGUAUCCUAUAUGAUGCAGCCCAGCAUCUGAGUACCAGAGACUAGCAUCUGGCUGUUAGGUUAACAGAUCAGCUCAUGCACCAACGGGUAGUCAUGCUGGGACCAAAUGAUGAAGAUAGGUACAACUAGUCCCAGUGAGAGCUGGGGAACUGGGCUGGGAUAUAGAGGAUGUUAAGAAUGGAGUGUCCUCCCAACCCCAGAAUUUUUUUUUCUUUUUUUGUGGUAAGGAGGGAGAAGGCUGCUUGGCAAGGAUGUUGUAAACUCUGAGAAAGCAGGAAUUUCAAAAUAAGAGUCAAGGGUGGUAUUCAGGGGAAAAUCAC